CUGCGGUAGUUCACGUGAAGGAUGUUUGCUUGAAUCUAGACAGGAACAAUGAGCAUGAAGAAAAGGGCCAGAUCUAAAGUAGGACACAAAGUCCUCUGCUGUGACCUAAGAGCUGAAGCUGAUAUGGCUAGAGAAUUUUUUCCCUUGCCCCUUAGAAAGUUAUCUUUUAGUAGAAUGUCACAGAAAAUUUUAAAAAGUUAACGAAUAAAAAGUACAAAACAAAAUAGCAAAACAAACAAACAAACAAAAAACCCAAAAAACAAAACCCAAACCCAAACCCUACCUCAGAAAGUGAAUAGUGUUUUUAACACAGAAAAAGUAAGUUAAGGGACAUGGAUCGGAAGGUAGGGGAUAGGAGUUAUACAAUGAAAUAUCCUUAACAGAUGAAGCCUUCUGGAGAACAUACGAUUUUAGCAAGGCCUUGACAGCAGGGAGCGAAUGAACCACAUGCGUAGCGGGGACGGGACGAAUACCCCAGUAGAGGGACAGGAGGCAACACAGAACCUAAGCAGGCACUUACCCUGAGUCUGGAGAAGCAACCCGCACGACAGCAGUGUGGAGUAGAUUGCCUGCGGGGCCCCAAGGCUGUGUUCUCAGUGCUGGGUGCCCACCGCCCCUGACCGCCUCUUACGCGUGGCGGACAAUAGCCGGCAAGUGCCAGUUAGAAACGCACCCACCUUUGACCUCCAUCCGGGUACCGGGGCCCUGAAAUCCCGCCCCAGGGCCUGAGCCGCUUCCGCUGGCUGGCUUCGGGGCAACGUUCCCUUCAAUCCUAGAAUCUGUGAGGGCCUCUUUCUAAGUUCUUAAGAGCAGAAUACUGCUGACUCUUAUUGAUGGAUUGCAGAGAUCAAUAUUUUUUUUUAUUGAAAUUAGUAGAGUAUUGCAGAGUGGUAAGAGCUGUGAGAACAACCUGGAAGAUUCUGGAAAAACCUGAUCCCCAACUGCACAACCACUAUAAUCUCAGCCAUUCUCUCAUAGCAGUAUAAUUUGCAGACUUUGCUAUUCUACAAACUUAAGAGUUGAUUUAAACUCAUACAGACUGAAACUGAAAUGAGCUAUGAACAGGGAGCUACAGCUAUGCUCUUCAGCAUUCCAAGAAGUUCUUGCUGGGGCUGACCUGGGUGUUGAGGACAUCAGAGUAGAUACCACGUGACUGUCUGUCAAAUGAACCUGUAUGUUGUCUUCUCCAGGACUUCGAGGUAAUCCGGCUUGGUUUGAAGUUUGGCCCUUAACUCGAGGUAAUCACUUUUUUGGGUUUGGUGGUCUGUGAAGCCCUUUCCAGCUGAGAAGAGAAGGGUUUCUUUGAGCCUGGCAUCCUGCUGUAAGUCUGGAUAUUGCAUGCCAGGAGGGUGGACGUGCAGUUCCUUUAAUUUGGGCACUGUGCCAUAGAGACAAUCCACGAAUCCCACUGUGCAGGGGGCUGGCUGUGGCCUCUCUCGGUCUAGGAGCAUACUUCCACCGCCACAGCCUCCCCCAGGAGGAAACAGCACCACCCCACCAUUCUUCUCAUGGUGGCGGAACCCAGCCAAGUCUCCCCCAGUUCCCGCAACUACCCCAGAAACCCCACCAACUGCUGGGUGGUGAGGGUGAGGGUGAUGAUGAUUCACCGUCACUAUGGUGUUGAGCUGGGAGCUGGACACUGCCAGGGCCCACUCCUUUUCUUUUUCCAGCAAGGUCCGGUAGUUGCUGUGGUUCUCCUUGGGUGUCUCUGCAAACUGCUCACUUCCUAGGAGAACCUCACCUACUCCUGGUGGCUGUGUCCCAGGACCCCCUCGUUCUGCACUCCCUGACUCCUGGACUGAUGAAACAGCCACCUCCUCCUCCUCACGAGGCUUAUAGAUGGGGUUGUUGCACAUUUGGGUCACUGGGUGGGGGAUGUACUCAUAUACGUGGCCCACAGGAGGGGCCUUCUCUGGGGACGAAAUAGUCGCUCGGCCCCCACAUCCACUUCCACCUCCACCACCCCCACCAUCCUCAAACAGCCGGUGGCAUUGCAUCUGGAUGCCGGUAAGGUCCACCCCUUCUUGUCGCUUGCUCCUAAAGGGCAGCUUCUUCCGGCGCCGUCGGAGCACGUAGGCAAAGAGGCCUGCAGCAACAAAGACUGCUGAAAAGAAAAGAACCAGCAGGCUGAGAAUCAACACAGAAAGUGGCACAGGGCCCCCGGGGGGAGAGAACUCAUAAGGUGAUGCACUCGUUGGCCCCCCAGCAAGGUGAGACUCUCCAGGCUGGGCUGGGGAUGCUCCAGCUGGUGGGAUGUGCAGCAUCUCUGGGCAGAGAACUUCCAGCUCAAUGGUGCGCACAUCGCGGUGGGUGAGGUUCUCAGGGCUCCUGCAAAGCACAUCACCCACCACGCUGACUGAGCUGAUGGUUUCAAUCCACUGUUUGAAGGGGACCAGGUCACAGGUACAGUCCCAAGGAUUCUCAUUGAGGUCUAUCUGGACAAUGGCAUUCAAGUGUUCUAGGACGCCAGCCACAGGAAGAUAGAGGAAGUAGUUCUUUCUCAGGUUGAGCCGGGCCAGGGAUGUGCCUGCAAAGGCAUCUGUCGGGAGGGUCCUCAGCAAGUUAUUGUUGAGGAAUAGCAGCUUCAAGUUGGGCAUGAGGCUGAAGGCUGCAGGCUGGAUUUCUCGGAUGACAUUGAACUCAAAGUACAAGUAGUGCAAACUCUGUAGUCCUCGGAACAUGCCUGGUGUCAGCUUCUCAAUAUCGUUGCCAUUGAGAAAGAGGCUCUUUAGGUUGGGCAGGUUGAUGAAGGCCCCAUCCUGGACAUAAGAAAUACGAUUGUUCCCCAGAUGCAAGAGAUCCAAGGAGGAGAAAUUCCAAAAAUCAGAACGGUAUAUUUUCUGAAUCAGAUUGCUACUCAGGUAAAGUUUCUUGGCAUUCAAUGGCCUUGGAAGAAGUUCAGAAAUGUUAUUAAAUCCUCGCUCUUUGCAGUUGACAGUCAAGCCAAGGUCGUUGAUGUGCAAAUUACAGGUACACCCAGUAGGACAUAUAAUGGGAAUGGGUGGUCUGGUCUGGUAAGGAGCAAUGGGAGGUUGGUUUGGACCAGGGUAUAAAGCUUGGGAUGUAGAGGGUGGCCUUGGUGUUCGGGGCUGUUUGGUGGGCUUGGGCUGUUUAUUUGAGGACUUGUAUUCAACAGAAGAAGCAGUGAAAUGGACAGAGGACAACAUUGAGGAAGGCUUAGUUGGCCAUGCAUUCUCCUUGCUUGAUGACAAGUGGGGAAUCCCCAAACUAGCCUCCACCUCAGAGUCAGACAACAAGGGGCAGAGUUCUGUCUUCCUGAUUUCUCGCAGAUCCUUUCCAUGGAAAUGGAAGGGGGUCUCACAGGUGAUGUCUCCCACCAGGGCGGUGUAAGGAAUGCGUUCCAGCCAACUCUUUAGCUGCACAAUCUCACAUGUACAGUUCCAGGGAUUUUCUUCCAGCUGGAGCUCCAUCAGGCUUCUGCCAAUGUGGUCUAGCAUUCCUCGGUAAAAAAGAACCUUUAACCUAUUUCCACGUAGGUCCAGAUGGGUUAAGGAGACAGCCUUAAAUAAAUUGUUUGGAAGCAUGGGGAUGAGAUUAUCAUUUAAAAUCAGAACUCUCAAUUUACUUAGGUUCCGAAAUGCCCCACUCUCAAUACGUUUAAUGACAUUGUAAUCUGCCUGCAGAUAUUCCAGACUUUCCAAGCCAAGGAAGGUGUCAUUUCUGAAGAUGUCUAGUUUGUUCUCAUGUAGAUAUAACCUCUUUAAGAUCUUAAGACCAUUGAAAGCUCCUGAUUGAAUGUCCUGCAAUGCAUUGUUCCCAAGGUUAAUGGACACAGCGUUAUUCAAAUGAAGAAAACUGUUGGUGUACAAUUUCCUCAUUGAAUUCCUUUGCAGAUACAGUUUAAAAGGUCUUGACCAGAACUCAGUAAUCUGACUAAUAUUUGUAAAUCCUUUACUGUCACAAUGUAUAUGAAAGAGGCUUUCUUUAACUUCACAGUAGCAUGGAUCAAAACAGGGCUCAUCUAUUUCCUCUGAGUCCUCUAUCAGGGGAAUCGGGGUAGUCCAUCCUAGAGCAAUUGUGCUUAGAAGAAUUAUCCACAACAUCCUCCCUCUGUGAAGCAUCUCAGCUAUGGAAGAUUUCAUCGUUCGUAGUUGAUUACAAAACUGCAACAGAAAUAAAGAUGCAGAUUUUAGCCUUUA
Acinonyx jubatus (cheetah) is the source of this 4160-nucleotide long non-coding RNA. RefSeq lists it as uncharacterized. NCBI's taxonomy places the organism in Eukaryota, Metazoa, Chordata, Mammalia, Carnivora, Felidae. The transcript is spliced from 4 exons. The record is from RefSeq and is a predicted model, not a curated record.